UAGGCUUGACAUGCAGGAUCUCCGAAGAGGGGCUCUCGUUUCUGAGAGCUUGCUCCUGCAUGUCAAGCCUAGGUAAGGUUCUUCGCGUUGCGUCGAAUUAAACCACAUGCUCCACCGCUUGUGCGGGCCCCCGUCAAUUCCUUUGAGUUUCAACCUUGCGGUCGUACUCCCCAGGCGGGGUACUUCCUGCGUUAGCGCCGGCACCCAGAGGGUCGCUCCCCCAGGCACCUAGUACCCAUCGUUUACGGCGUGGACUAC
Molecule: unclassified non-coding RNA, 258 nt
Filed under: uncultured Gemmatimonadaceae bacterium
Lineage: Bacteria; Pseudomonadati; Gemmatimonadota; Gemmatimonadia; Gemmatimonadales; Gemmatimonadaceae
Description: contains 16S-23S intergenic spacer region
Source: RNAcentral